AUCCCAUUGUGCGUUUGGACAAAGUAAUGUAUUUAGAAUUAUGCAUUUUUCUCUCUUGACUUGCAACAAAAUAACAAACAGGUACAAAAUUAGCAAAGAAGGUAUGCAAAAGUCUGCGAAGUUCAAUACGAUUUAAACACUGCUUAAGGCAAACACUGUCCACUCCUGCAAUGUCUCAGAGAAGCUGAUGCAUCUUUUCUUCACGGUGGGUAUGAAAAAAAUUCCCAGAUCUAGAUAGAGGAGUCCCGAAGCGAUACAUUCCCUGUACCGCAAAAAGGGCCUGCACCUUUCUGACACAGCAAACCAGAACUGAAGCAAAACUAUGCUCGUCUCCUGCAAAGCAGCCUUCAGCGGGAGGGCCGCCCCGCCCCGCCCCGCCACUUACAGCCUCCUCCCAGCCGCCGGGCGCCGCGGUGGCAGCCCGGGCCUCCUCGGCGGCGACGCGCUCGCUGAGGCGGCGCAGGGCGCGCACGGGCCGCAGCUCGCCGCCGCCGCAGCAGCAGGGUGCCGCGGCGCCCCCCGGGCCGUGCCCCGAGGCGGGUCCCCGCUCGGCGGGGCUCAUGGCCGGCGCGGCGCCCCUCCGCCGCCAGGGACCGCGCGCCCCGCAUCGGCGCCCCGCGGCCGCUUCGGCGCCGCCGCCCUCCCGCUGCCGCGGUUACCGGGGCA
This is a long non-coding RNA of Dromaius novaehollandiae (emu), 666 nucleotides long. RefSeq lists it as uncharacterized. Lineage: Eukaryota; Metazoa; Chordata; Aves; Casuariiformes; Dromaiidae. The record is from RefSeq and is a predicted model, not a curated record. The transcript is spliced from 3 exons.